CUAAUGGUAUGUAUACCGUCUAUUUUCCUAGCAAUAUAUAAGUCUCUCAGGAGCAGAAACAGAGUCUGCUUCCUUCACAGUCUUGUCUCUGAAGAGAUACGCUUUGUCACAAAGAGAAAAUCUCUUCAGCCUUCAGUAGUGGUAAUGGAUUCUCUUCUGGAACACAGCUUGGGUCUGGCUAUACCAAGAAAGGAGGGAAAGAAAAAGCUGUCUCCCCUUCAGAAGACUUCUAUCCCAUCCCCUCCCCCUGCCUCUAUGACGGUGCUCCCCCACCCACCUACCCGUUCUACCUUUCCACCCUGGCAUUCCCCUACAUUGAGGCAUCGAAUACCCUCAGGCCCAAGGGCCUCUUCUUACUGAUGUCCAACAAGGCCAUCCUCUGCCACAUAUGCAGCUGAAGCCAUGGGUCCGUCCAUACGUACUCUUUGGUCGGUGGUCCAGUCCCCGGGAGCUUUGGGGCCAUCUGACUGGCUGACACUGUUGCUCCCUCCGUAGGGCUACAAACCCCCGCAGCUUCUUCAGUCCCUUCUCAACUCCUCCAUGAAGGACCCUGCACUCAGUCCAAUGGUUGGCUGUGAGCCUUCACCUCCGUAUUUGUCAGGCUGUGACAGAGCCUCUCAAGAGACAGUCAUAUCAAGCUCCUGGCAGCAAGAGCCUGGCAUCCACAGUUAUUGUUCAACAUAAUCUACAAUGGCAGACAUAAGACAUAAUCUCAAAGCUCUAGUAUUUGGAGGAAACAUCUGGUAGCUAUGAAUGAAAGUAUAAUCAUGACUAUUAGUUUCUCUGGCAGAUUAAAACAGCAUUAAAUAAAAUCACUAAUAUUUGUCUGAGACUAAUAUACUUGAUAUUUUAGAAUUCUGGAGUUUUCUUCUCUUGUAGACUCAGUGUUUCUGUCUCUGCAGCUUCCCCUGAUUUUCUUUUGGAACUGUAUGAAGUAAGUAAGGAAGUCUUCCCCAGUAUUUUUCAAAUCAUAUAUUUUACCCAGUGGACCCUGUUAAGAAUUGUUUUUACAUCUCCCUACUUAAAAUACUAACUUCC
RNAcentral lists this long non-coding RNA (1038 nucleotides) under Mus musculus (house mouse). RNAcentral describes it as "predicted gene 45460". The record is from RNAcentral. Lineage: Eukaryota; Metazoa; Chordata; Mammalia; Rodentia; Muridae.